This 73-nucleotide transfer RNA is filed under the name Bos taurus (domestic cattle). It matches the Rfam family "tRNA". Rfam says of the family: Transfer RNA (tRNA) molecules are approximately 80 nucleotides in length. Their secondary structure includes four short double-helical elements and three loops (D, anti-codon, and T loops). Further hydrogen bonds mediate the characteristic L-shaped molecular structure. tRNAs have two regions of fundamental functional importance: the anti-codon, which is responsible for specific mRNA codon recognition, and the 3' end, to which the tRNAs corresponding amino acid is attached (by aminoacyl-tRNA synthetases). tRNAs cope with the degeneracy of the genetic code in two manners: having more than one tRNA (with a specific anti-codon) for a particular amino acid; and 'wobble' base-pairing, i.e. permitting non-standard base-pairing at the 3rd anti-codon position. Lineage: Eukaryota; Metazoa; Chordata; Mammalia; Artiodactyla; Bovidae. The record is from Rfam by way of RNAcentral. RNAcentral also lists the same sequence under 1 other name.
UCUCUGGUUGUCCAGUGGUUAAGACCCCGUGCUCCUAAUGCAGGAGACCUGGGUUCAAUCCCCAGUUGGGGAA